RNAcentral lists this ribosomal RNA (253 nucleotides) under uncultured bacterium. Its description in RNAcentral is "partial 16S ribosomal RNA". It matches the Rfam family "Bacterial small subunit ribosomal RNA", at positions 524 to 776 of the family's 1533-position model. The record is from RNAcentral.
UACGGAGGGAGCUAGCGUUGUUCGGAAUCACUGGGCGUAAAGCGCACGUAGGCGGCUUUGCAAGUUAGAGGUGAAAGCCCGGGGCUCAACUCCGGAACUGCCUUUAAAACUGCGAUGCUUGAAUCUGGGAGAGGUGAGUGGAAUUCCGAGUGUAGAGGUGAAAUUCGUAGAUAUUCGGAAGAACACCAGUGGCGAAGGCGGCUCACUGGACCAGUAUUGACGCUGAGGUGCGAAAGCGUGGGGAGCAAACAGG